CCUACGGGAGGCAGCAGUGAGGAAUAUUGGUCAAUGGACGAGAGUCUGAACCAGCCAAGUAGCGUGAAGGAUGACUGCCCUAUGGGUUGUAAACUUCUUUUAUAUGGGAAUAAAAUGUUCCACGUGUGGGAUUUUGUAUGUACCAUAUGAAUAAGGAUCGGCUAACUCCGUGCCAGCAGCCGUGGUAAUACGGAGGAUCCGAGCGUUAUCCGGAUUUAUUGGGUUUAAAGGGAGCGUAGGUGGAUUGUUAAGUCAGUUGUGAAAGUUUGCGGCUCAACCGUAAAAUUGCAGUUGAAACUGGCAGUCUUGAGUACAGUAGAGGUAGGCGGAAUUCGUGGUGUAGCGGUGAAAUGCUUAGAUAUCACGAAGAACUCCGAUUGCGAAGGCAGUUCACUGGACUGCAACUGACACUGAGGCUCGAAAGUGUGGGUAUCAAACAGGAUUAGAUACCCGUGUAGUC
This 460-nucleotide ribosomal RNA is filed under the name uncultured bacterium. RNAcentral describes it as "partial 16S ribosomal RNA". It matches the Rfam family "Bacterial small subunit ribosomal RNA", at positions 338 to 795 of the family's 1533-position model. The record is from RNAcentral.